AGCCCGGUGGUGUAGCGGUCAAGCAUGGUGGGCUCUGGACCCACCGACGGGAGUUCGAAUCUCCCCCGGGCUACCA
RNAcentral lists this transfer RNA (76 nucleotides) under Candidatus Bathyarchaeota archaeon. RNAcentral's name for it is "tRNA-Gln". It matches the Rfam family "tRNA". From Rfam's summary of the family: Transfer RNA (tRNA) molecules are approximately 80 nucleotides in length. Their secondary structure includes four short double-helical elements and three loops (D, anti-codon, and T loops). RNAcentral also lists the same sequence under 1 other name. The record is from RNAcentral. Lineage: Archaea; Thermoproteati; Candidatus Bathyarchaeota.